Molecule: ribosomal RNA, 509 nt
Filed under: uncultured Actinomycetales bacterium
Lineage: Bacteria; Bacillati; Actinomycetota; Actinomycetes; Actinomycetales
Description: bacterial SSU rRNA
Rfam family: Bacterial small subunit ribosomal RNA
Source: RNAcentral
AGAGUUUGAUCCUGGCGUCAGGAUGAACGCUGGCGGCGUGCCUAAUACAUGCAAGUCGAGCGAGGAGCCUCCCUUCGGGGAGGUAUCCGAGCGGCGAACGGGUGAGUAACACGUGAGCAACCUGCCCUCGACACCGGGAUAACCCCGGGAAACUGGGGCUAAUACCGGAUACUUGCCAGUCGGGGCAUCCCGAUUGGCAGAAAGGUUCUCCGCCGCGAGGUGGGGUUCCGGUCGAGGAGGGGCUUGCGGCCUAUCAGCUAGUUGGUGGGGUAACGGCCUACCAAGGCGACGACGGGUAGCCGGCCUGAGAGGGUGAUCGGCCACACUGGGACUGAGACACGGCCCAGACUCCUACGGGAGGCAGCAGUGGGGAAUCUUGCGCAAUGGGCGAAAGCCUGACGCAGCGACGCCGCGUGGGGGAUGAAGGCCUUCGGGUUGUAAACCCCUUUCACCACCGACGAAGCCUUCGGGUGACGGUAGGUGGGGAAGAAGCGCCGGCUAACUACGUG